Molecule: unclassified non-coding RNA, 16 nt
Filed under: Trypanosoma cruzi
Lineage: Eukaryota; Euglenozoa; Kinetoplastea; Trypanosomatida; Trypanosomatidae
Description: partial trans-spliced leader sequence SL
Source: RNAcentral
UUCUGUACUAUAUUGG